RNAcentral lists this ribosomal RNA (712 nucleotides) under uncultured Erysiphe. Its description in RNAcentral is "eukaryotic LSU rRNA". The stretch from base 330 to 483 matches the Rfam family "5.8S ribosomal RNA". Lineage: Eukaryota; Fungi; Ascomycota; Leotiomycetes; Helotiales; Erysiphaceae. The record is from RNAcentral.
GGAGAGUGGCAACGCUCGCCCAGGGCCGGAAAGUUGUCCAAACUUGGUCAUUUAGAGGAAGUAAAAGUCGUAACAAGGUUUCCGUAGGUGAACCUGCGGAAGGAUCAUUACAGAGCGUGAGGCUCAGUCGUGGCGUCAGCUGCGUGCUGGGCCGACCCUCCCACCCGUGUCGAUUUCUAUCUUGUUGCUUUGGCGGGCCGGGCUACGUCGUCGCUGCCCGUACGGACAUGCGUCGGCCGCCCACCGGUUUCGACUGGAGCGCGUCCGCCAAAGACCUAACCAAAACUCAUGUUGUCUUUGUCGUCUCAGCUUUAUUAUUGAAUUGAUAAAACUUUCAACAACGGAUCUCUUGGCUCUGGCAUCGAUGAAGAACGCAGCGAAAUGCGAUAAGUAAUGUGAAUUGCAGAAUUUAGUGAAUCAUCGAAUCUUUGAACGCACAUUGCGCCCCUUGGUAUUCCGAGGGGCAUGCCUGUUCGAGCGUCAUAACACCCCCUCCAGCUGCCUUUGUGUGGUUGCGGUGUUGGGGCCCGUCGCGUUGCGGCAGCUCUUAAAGACAGUGGCGGUCCUGGCGUGGGCUCUACGCGUAGUAACUUGCUUCUCGCGACAGAGUGACGACAGUGGCUUGCCAAAAGCCCGUUUGUUCCAGUCACAUGGAUCACAGGUUGACCUCGAAUCAGGUAGGAAUACCCGCUGAACUUAAGCAUAUCAAUAA